Small nucleolar RNA from Patiria miniata (bat star), 75 nucleotides. RefSeq annotates it as small nucleolar RNA SNORD61. Lineage: Eukaryota; Metazoa; Echinodermata; Asteroidea; Valvatida; Asterinidae. The transcript has a single exon. The record is from RefSeq and is a predicted model, not a curated record.
ACAGGGAUGACUUAAAAUUAUCCGACAAUUAAUGAGGAAUAAUUUAUUUUUUAUCCUCUAAGAAGUUCUGAGUGG